RNAcentral lists this ribosomal RNA (230 nucleotides) under uncultured bacterium. RNAcentral describes it as "partial 16S ribosomal RNA". It matches the Rfam family "Bacterial small subunit ribosomal RNA", at positions 99 to 334 of the family's 1533-position model. The record is from RNAcentral.
CGGACGGGUGAGUAAUGUCUGGGAAACUGCCCGAUGGAGGGGGAUAACUACUGGAACGGUAGCUAAUACCGCAUAACGUCGCAAGACCAAGAGGGGGACCUUCGGGCCUCUUGCCAUCGGAUGUGCCCAGAUGGGAUUAGCUAGUAGGUGGGGUAACGGCUCACCUAGGCGACGAUCCCUAGCUGGUCUGAGAGGAUGACCAGCCACACUGGAACUGAGACACGGUCCAG